AUACGGAGGAUCCGAGCGUUAUCCGGAUUUAUUGGAUUUAAAGGGUGCGCAGGCGGCCAUUUAAGUCAGCGGUUAAAUCGUGGGGCUCAACCCCAUUCUGCCGUUGAUACUGGGUGGCUUGAUUGCGGUCGAGGUUGGCGGAAUUCGUUGUGUAGCGGUGAAAUGCAUAGAUAUGACGAAGAACACCGAUUGCGUAGGCAGCUGACCAGACCGCAAAUGACGCUCAUGCACGAAAGUGCGGGGAUCGAACAGGAUUAGAUACCCUGGUAGUCCGCACAGUAAACGAUGAAUACUUGUUUUCGGCGAUAUAAUGUCGGAGGCAAAGCGAAAGCGAUAAGUAUUCCACCUGGGGAGUACGCCGGCAACGGUGAAACUCAAAGGAAUUGACGGGG
Molecule: ribosomal RNA, 392 nt
Filed under: uncultured bacterium
Lineage: Bacteria
Description: partial 16S ribosomal RNA
Rfam family: Bacterial small subunit ribosomal RNA
Source: RNAcentral